ACGACUCUCGACAACGGAUAUCUAGGCUCUCGCAUCGAUGAAGAACGUAGCAAAAUGCGAUACUUGGUGUGAAUUGCAGAAUCCCGUGAAUCAUCGAGUUUUUGAACGCAAGUUGCGCCCGAAGCCAUUAGGCCUAGGGCACGUCUGCCUGGGUGUCACGCAUCGC
Molecule: ribosomal RNA, 166 nt
Filed under: Ceropegia gilgiana
Lineage: Eukaryota; Viridiplantae; Streptophyta; Magnoliopsida; Gentianales; Apocynaceae
Description: 5.8S ribosomal RNA
Rfam family: 5.8S ribosomal RNA
About the family: 5.8S ribosomal RNA (5.8S rRNA) is a component of the large subunit of the eukaryotic ribosome. It is transcribed by RNA polymerase I as part of the 45S precursor that also contains 18S and 28S rRNA.
Source: RNAcentral